GUAACGGUGUCUUUAGACACCACCCUUUGUCUUAGAAUUUUUUUUU
Molecule: non-coding RNA, 46 nt
Organism: Picea glauca (white spruce)
Lineage: Eukaryota; Viridiplantae; Streptophyta; Pinopsida; Pinales; Pinaceae
Source: Rfam